UACGUACCGUCCAACCGUUAUUCGGAAUUACUGGGCUUAAAGGGUACGUAGGCGGCGCUGUCAGUCGGGUGUGAAAUCCCUCGGCCCAACCGAGGAACUGCGCCCGAUACUGCAGUGCUUGAGGGAGACAGAGGUAAGCGGAACUGAUGGUGGAGCGGUGAAAUGCGUUGAUAUCAUCAGGAACACCAGUGGCGUAAGCGGCUUACUGGGUCUCUUCUGACGCUGAGGUACGAAAGCUAGGGGAGCGAAGGGG
Molecule: ribosomal RNA, 253 nt
Filed under: uncultured bacterium
Lineage: Bacteria
Description: partial 16S ribosomal RNA
Rfam family: Bacterial small subunit ribosomal RNA
Source: RNAcentral